CUUCUCAUUCUUUGAAUAAGAAUUUCACCCAUUUUUCCUCUCCCAGAGCCUCAGAGAGAGAGUGAGACCGGGAAAGAUGACUCGGGGAAAGCAGAAGAUUGAAGCGCAAAAACGAAAUGCGGAGAAGAAUCAGAAGCAAAAAGGGUCUCAAUUUGAGGCCAGAGCCGUUGCUCUCAAAAUCACUUGUCCUAUUUGCAAGGUGCAACUUGCAAAUCCAAAGCAGCUUGGUGAUCACUAUGCUUCCAAACAUCCCAGAGAAAAGCCUCCAGCCGAAUCAGAAUGACCCCUUUCUCAUGUGGAAUACAGUGUGACAAUAAAAAACGAAGUAAAAAAAUCCUUUGCUGUGUUUUUCAACGUGUUUCAGAAAGUUAGUUAUACGUUGACUUGUGUUAAAUCUCUCCAGCUCCCUUCGCGUGCCUCUGGUUUGUUAAACGUUGUAUGACUAUGAAGGAUGAUUGUUAAUGUUGUCAUAUCUAGAGUUAUAUGGGCUGUGAAAUGAAAAUUUUGUCCAUUUUAUACCAUAUGCCUUUAACUACCGCUAGCUUGAAGUUUCUACUGGGAGAAAGAAUGAUACUAAUAGAAACCAGAAAUUUUAUGCUGUAGCCCCAGGUUGUGUAUUUAAUUCUCUCCCUUGUUAGAUAUUUUUCGUGCCCCCUAGGGAUGUAUGUUACCAAGUGAAAAUUAGGCUCUUUCGAGCAUUGUUGGUUUUAAAAUCCAAA
Long non-coding RNA from Prunus persica (peach), 719 nucleotides. RefSeq lists it as uncharacterized. The record is from RefSeq and is a predicted model, not a curated record. The transcript is spliced from 2 exons. Lineage: Eukaryota; Viridiplantae; Streptophyta; Magnoliopsida; Rosales; Rosaceae.